Molecule: ribosomal RNA, 508 nt
Filed under: uncultured bacterium
Lineage: Bacteria
Description: partial 16S ribosomal RNA
Rfam family: Bacterial small subunit ribosomal RNA
Source: RNAcentral
GACGAACGCUGGCGGCGUGCCUAAUACAUGCAAGUCGAACGCUUCUUUCCUCCCGAGUGCUUGCCCUCAAUUGGAAAGAGGAGUGGCGGACGGGUGAGUAACACGUGGGUAACCUACCCAUCAGAGGGGGAUGACACUUGGAAACAGGUGCUAAUACCGCAUAACAGUUUAUGCCGCAUGGCAUAAGAGUGAAAGGCGCUUUCGGGUGUCGCUGAUGGAUGGACCCGCGGUGCAUUAGCUAGUUGGUGAGGUAACGGCUCACCAAGGCCACGAUGCAUAGCCGACCUGAGAGGGUGAUCGGCCACACUGGGACUGAGACACGGCCCAGACUCCUACGGGAGGCAGCAGUAGGGAAUCUUCGGCAAUGGACGAAAGUCUGACCGAGCAACGCCGCGUGAGUGAAGAAGGUUUUCGGAUCGUAAAACUCUGUUGUUAGAGAAGAACAAGGACGUUAGUAACUGAACGUCCCCUGACGGUAUCUAACCAGAAAGCCACGGCUAACUACGUG